RNAcentral lists this transfer RNA (72 nucleotides) under Bacteroidales bacterium. RNAcentral describes it as "tRNA-Thr". It matches the Rfam family "tRNA". Rfam says of the family: Transfer RNA (tRNA) molecules are approximately 80 nucleotides in length. Lineage: Bacteria; Pseudomonadati; Bacteroidota; Bacteroidia; Bacteroidales. The record is from RNAcentral. RNAcentral also lists the same sequence under 2 other names.
GCCGCUUUAGCUCAGUGGUAGAGCGCAUCCUUGGUAAGGAUGAGGUCUCGAGUUCAACUCUCGAAAGCGGCU